AUUGAACGCUGGCGGCGGGCCUAACACAUGCAAGUCGAGCGAGCGGCGGACGGGUGAGUAAUGUAUGGGGACUGCCCGAUAGAGGGGGAUAACUACUGGACACGGUAGCUAAUACCGCAUACUAUCGGAUAACCCAUAUGGGAUUAGCUAGUAGGUGAGGUAAUGGCUAACCUCGGCGACGAUCCCUAGCUGGUCUGAGAGGAUGAUCAGCCAACGUGGGAGUGAGACACGGCCCAGGUUCCUACGGAGGCAGCAGUGGGUAAUAUUGCACAAUGGGCGCAAGCCUGAUGCAGCGAUGCCGCGUGUAUGAAGAAGGCCCUAGGGUUGUAAAGUACUUUCAGUCGGGAGGCGUUACCGACAGAAGAAGCACCGGCUAACUCCGUGCCAGCAGCCGCGGUAAUUC
RNAcentral lists this ribosomal RNA (403 nucleotides) under uncultured bacterium. Its description in RNAcentral is "partial 16S ribosomal RNA". It matches the Rfam family "Bacterial small subunit ribosomal RNA", at positions 30 to 526 of the family's 1533-position model. The record is from RNAcentral.